UGAGGAAUAUUGCACAAUGGGCGCAAGCCUGAUGCAGCGACGCCGCGUGUGGGAUGAAGGGGCUACGCCUCGUAAACCACUGUAGCCCGGGACGAAAAACGCCUUAGAGGCGUUAGACGGUACCGGGAAAGUAAGGGUCGGCUAACUACGUGCCAGCAGCCGCGGUAAUACGUAGGACCCAAGCGUUGUCUGGAUUUACUGGGUGUAAAGGGUGCGCAGGCGGAUGGGUAAGUCAGGGGUGAAAGUCUGCAGCUUAACUGUAGAAUUGCCUUUGAUACUGCUCAUCUUGAGUGUGGGAGAGGUUGAUGGAAUUCCAGGUGUAGCAGUGAAAUGCGUAGAUAUGCGGAGGAACACCGAUGGCGAAGGCAAUCCCCUGGGCCUGCACUGACGCUCAUGCACGAAAGCGUGGGGAGCAAACA
Molecule: ribosomal RNA, 419 nt
Filed under: uncultured bacterium
Lineage: Bacteria
Description: bacterial SSU rRNA
Rfam family: Bacterial small subunit ribosomal RNA
Source: RNAcentral